GCCAGAGGGUAAAACCGGUCUAACCACAUAUUUUAUCCUCCCCUGGUAAUUUUGGUGCACAUUAUCAGCAAACAUUAAAAGAAAAACAGAUAUAUCCUGAAAAAUAUAAGGAGAUAAAUGCCAUAAAUGUAUAUAUGGGAGACAACUUCCAUUAAAUUGUAAUUAUCAGGAUGUUCAUGAUUUUCCAGAAGUGGUUCCCAGCUACUCUACCAGGGAAAAAAAAAAUCAACUACUGGCAGCAUUUUAUAUUUCAGAAGCUCAAAACUUUGAUAGCAUUAACUGUUGAUUGUAUUAGAAAAAUUAAGGAUUUUAACUUAUAAACUGAAAAAGAGACAUGCUCAAACCUAGACAUACAAGAAACUACUGCAGAUAUUUGAUAACGGCACUAAUUUAAGCAGGCAGUAAGGAUAAAAGUAAAUAUCUUUCUAGCCCCAUUUGGGAAAAACCUGCGAGCUAAUAAGCAUAAGCCAGCAUCAAGAAAGAAAUUUUAUAUGCAGAAUUUUCGCAAAACACCUGGCUUUAUUGUUCUCUGUAAUUAUACCCAGACUAUACGCAUCCAAAUUUUAAGUAUUAUACAUUUAUCAACAAUUCAAGUCAUGAUAUUGCAAGUAAAACUAAAUAUUAAACCAACCUCAGAAACAUGAUUAUUUAUAGCAUUCAAAGAAUAAUAUUUUAUGAAUAAGCAUGAGAAGAUCGGAAAAACAAAUAAUUAACUCAAUGCAGCUAUUGCCAGGAUCUUUUCAUAGUACCCAUGCACAAUGGCAUUCUUGGAUUCCCUCAGAUUAAUGGCAAAAGUUCAAUUUUACCUAGCAAAUGUUUAACUUCAAAGUAGCAUUAUAAAAAUUCAUAUGGACUAUCUGAUGCAUUUCA
This 870-nucleotide unclassified non-coding RNA is filed under the name Hevea brasiliensis (rubber tree). The record is from RNAcentral. Lineage: Eukaryota; Viridiplantae; Streptophyta; Magnoliopsida; Malpighiales; Euphorbiaceae.